GGGAGGAGAGAAACAGACACGAGCCGAGCGGUGAAGGCGGGAGGAAGCGGCUUUUUCUCCCGUCAAACUCAAACCAACUGAACGCAAAAGGGUAAAAAUGAGAAAGUGUUAAAGACAGCCAAUCAGACGGCUGGAUUCUUUCAUCUCUGCCUCCACCCUUAGAGGCAGCGGUGAGACGAUGGUGACAACUUGUUCUUCUAGGAAAGUGUUGCUCCAGCACUCAGCGGCGCCGGAGUGCCGGCUGUGACCCCCCGACACUGAAAACCACAGAGACCGAGGCUCCGCUGCCGACGCUUCGCCUGCCUCUGCAGGAUCGUUCUUCUGGAACGCAGCGAUCUUCUGCUGAGGGUGAUGCUGGCCUGUGGAUGACGAUGGCUGAUGACCUCUACAGCAGCACCUUCUCCGUUUCCGAGUCGGACCUCUCCUCCUCCUCUUCGUCCUCAGCGACCGCUCCUUUUCUCACGGUUGAGCAGAGGGCGGCUUUCGUCUUCGUCCUCAUCCUCUUCAUUUUCCUGGGCCUUCUGAUCGUUCGCUGUUUCCGGAUCCUUCUGGACCCGUAUCGCAGCAUGCCGUCCUCCACCUGGACAGACUACAUGGAGAAGGACACCUUCGAUUACCGAAUUUCCUGACAGGCAGCUUGAGAGGCAGCAACCCUGACUAAUUAACUGUUAAACUGAGGCAACUAUCACACAGAUAACCUAAAGCAAAAAGCACAAGUGCACGUUUCCUUCUCCGCUUUCCACUUCUCAUUUAUUCUUAAACAUGUUUUCUUCCAAACCCACUUGAAGUUUGGGUUUGUGACCCCAACUAGAACACUUAGAGCAACUGUUUCGUCAUUUGAACAAGAAGUUAAUAUUUGUUUUAGCAUUCGCUUCAAAAUAUCAAAUUAAUUUCACAUGUUAAAAGUUGCCACGUUUGACUUUUCUGCACUUUCCCGGAGCUGCUGAUGAAUCUCAUGGGGUUCAUCAGUAACCAUGGAAAUGGCUAUGUACUGUUCAGUUUGCAAGUUGACAGAUGGACCCAAAGUUAUUGUCCUUUAUGGUCAAACUUUCUGCAAACUUGGUUAGCAAGUAACUAGUUUUGUUAUUGAAAAACAACUUAAAUCUAAAAUAUUAGCCUCAUAACUUCCAGACUGAAGUACAUUUAAAAAGAAAAUCAAUAUCAGUUUCCCAAGAAAAUCACCAGGUAGCUUAUUACACAGCUAUAGACUAUUAUAUUCAUGUAAUUGUCUAAAACUUGACAAGCUCUACAAACUUGUUUUCACCUCGUUAAGUAUCGGUGAUGAAUAUAACUGAACCCUAAUGAACCUCAAAUAUUUGGUAUUUCUGCCCUAGAACUGCUCAGACACAGACCUGUGGUCAAAUGAUUGACAGGUGGUUCAGCAUGACCCCACUAAGUGUUAAUUUAUUUUAUUUUUUUUCAAUCACUGUCAGGUUAGUUUUGCCUUUUUGGUCAGGUGAUGACCAUGGUUUCAGCUCAGUCGGAAACCAUUGACUGUAUAUGAGAAAUGGACUAAGUGACUCCAAACAGGAAGGACCCGCUGGUUGCUAGAAGCCAAACUCCCAUAGACUUCUAUAGAGAAAUAAACUGCAGUUAGGGACCUGUCGCUGCUUGCUGAUGACGUCUGACUCCAACAUGGCAACAUCCAUACUGCGAAAAGAUAAGGCAACUGAAUUGACUUCAUCUCGUUUGAGCAGGAAGAAAACAGUUUUCUCUGGUUGAUGUGAUACUCACUCGGUCCAGUUCUCAGAUACAGUCAAUGCCUGAAACCAACCAGUGAGGGGUCACAUGACCAACAUGCUUCAUCCAUCUCCUGCACACCACUACACACUGUAGGAUGUUGACACAAAAAGGAAACGUGCACUUUGUGUGUGUGUUGCUUUACGUCUGAUAGAAGUCUCAGUCUGCCCGGCAGGCAGCACAUCUGAGCAAAACAGCAACUGAAACCCAAUCUUACUCAAUCCACCUUCAAAUAAACAAACUUUUUGAAAUGUAUUGCUAAAAAAUGGUCUCUUUCCCCAGAUUCCCAUAGGGCCAAAAUUGGGGGAAUCGUUUGCCUGAACACGUGUGGCAUUAGCAGAGUGAUAAAACACCAGUAAGCAGUUGCGUUUUUUGCUCAGACCUCGUGAAGGUUGAAGAAAUCCCUCAGCUCUGCAGCUCUCUGACAGCAGCACUGCAGGAAUCUGCAGCAGUGCAGCCAGAACAUGAAGAGAAUGUAAGAACCUGAGAGGCGGGCAGGGAUUUCGUCAUGCCGUCAUGCGCCUGUCGGGCAGCACGUUAGGGUUACUGUCUCUCAUGGGAAGACAAACUUGUUCUGUUUUUUUUACUAUGUGUUCCCCGUUUUUCUAAAACAAACAGAUUGUAAGAAUUUCAUCUAAACAACUUCGUGGGACUUGAUGUUGACACGGAGUGUUAUUUCUGAAGAGUAUUGGGAGGUGGAGGAGCAUGAGGAGGCCCAGAAGAGGUGGAGGUAGGAGGACAGAAGGAACACGGCUGUGCUGAAUUGGUUGGACUGCAGAGACGAGACGGUUUCCAGCGCCUUUUCGUUGUCCUGUCAGCCUGUCCGUUGCUUAGUAACUGGUGUUUUCAGUGCCAGCUGAGAUCUGGAGCCAAAAAAAACAGCUCUUAAGGAACAGGAACACAAACUAAAUGAAGACAAAAAAAUACUCCAAGUGAGCUCCACAGCAUCUGUCAGCCAGUUUGGCACAAAACCAGCCAGCGACCUCAACUCCCAUCGGUUUUCUGAACAGAAGUCAACAGCGGCCCACCCUUGGGUGGCCUGUAGGGAUUAAUGGCCCUUCUCGUUGUUGGAGGUCUCCUGUCAAACUGCUGAGCCGAACGCCUUUUGGAGCAGAAAAACAGUUUGAAGUCAGAGUAAAAACAUCUGAAGGAAAUGAAAAGCUGCUUCCCUUUGAGCUUUCUCCUGAUGGGAGAUUGGAAAGCAUUAACAUGGUUAACUUUCUUCACUGACGAAGUCACCGGAAGCAAAAAGAAAACAACGGCUGAUUUAUUUCCAAGGAGAAGACUGCUUUUUUUUGUGUGCAGCAGUUUUUAAAAAAAAGGCCAAGGUUUUUGGGUUUUGUUUGUAUGUGUGCACGAUUGAAGGAGGGGUUUUCCACGGAAGACUAAAGCCCACCAUCUCUGCAACCUUCAAUAGGAUAUUUUUGUUUUUUUUUUUUUUUUUUUUUUUUUUUUUUUUUUGCUUCUCCUAGUGGUCCACAUGGCAGCGACCCUCGCUGUAGGCAAGGUGACCAAAUCUCUGGCUCAAAGGGAACACUAACAGAAAUGGAGAAAAUAACUUUUUUUUUUCCUUAAAGCAAAAACAGCCCAACACCUCUUCAAGCAUCAGAAUUCAAUGGGAUCAAGCUAAAAAGACAAUCUGAAUUUCUAUGAAUAGGAGUUUGGGAUUUUUCUUUUCUGUUGAAGGAUUACAAUUAUCUUUAUUAUUCAUAUUCAUCUCAUACUCAUCUUUUUAGACCUAAAUGGUCAGAGAACAAACUCAAGAGUAUUUUAUUUAUUUGUCUAAACAUGUAAUUUCAAGUCAGUGUUUACUGUAAUUAUUUUAGAUAUUGUUCACAUCUUGACAGUUUUAGGAUUGAGCACCUGCACUGCAAAAAUCAACCUUCAAAAAAAUGAGCAAAGAAUUUUUUUUAAUUCUUUAAAUAAGCUAAAAAAUAAUGCAAAUGGGGUAAUAAAAAAGUCUCACUGAGAAUUAUUAUUUUAAGAAAAAACUUCUAUUCACAAAGACAUCUUAAACUAAAUUUUCUUACACUAAGAUUAUUUUGCAAUUGAAUUUUUUUUUUCUUGCAAGACAGAGAAAAGGACUUUUACUUUCUUAAGAUUCUGUUUUUGCAGUGAGCUGUGUUUUUUUUUUCAACAAUUAUUUAUUUUUUCUGGUGUUCUUUAAAUCAACACACUGUGAUAUAUUUACAUUAUUUAGGGGCAAAACGAGGUAUGAAUGAAUCAAGAGGCAGUAUUCUACCAAACUUUGCCUCAAAAGCUGCCAUCAUUCUCCUUAACAUUAUUUUUAUUUGCUUUUCUGUUCAGACAGGACUAACCUGUCCAUGUAAACUAAAAACAAGCUUCUUUAGCAGUACAUUGUGCAGAAGAUGUUUCUUUUUCUCUUUCUUUGUUCAGUCCGUCCUGGCGUUCCCACAGGUGUUACCUUUGGAGCUCUAAUAGACAACUGCAUUUUGUGUCUUUUCACCACAGCUUAAGGUGACAUAUGCAAAGUCUAGCAGCCAACAAAGAAGGACCGAAAUUUUGUCAAGAAUCCAAUUAUUUUUGCAUGAAAAACUAUUGUCGUGUGAUUUCAGUUUAGUCACAAAAAAGCCAAAAUCUGGUUUUCUUUUAAAAAUCCUUUUUCUAACAGCAGCAUUUCUUUGUUUUAUAGUUUUAGAGAACAUUAUCAGUAGUUAAACUUAUCAUAAUUUAGUUAAAUUUAUAUUAGUGGUAGAUUUAUUUUCUGGAUGGCGCUCAUAAAUCCUUUUUUUGUGUUUUUUAAGUGUAAAAUGCAAAGCAAACAAUUAAACACCACAAGUGAUCUAAUUGCAUUGCUCAUUUGGCAAAAAUUAAACCAAAUCAAAAGUCUGUGCAGGAAUAAAUAAUGCAUAAAUUAACUUUUAAACAGAUUUAUAUCAAGCCAAAUGCUGCUAACUAAUAUCUUUAUCAUCUACAUAUUCAUUAAGACGAAUGCAUUGGCAGUUUUCUAGGCAGAAAAACUGUUUACCAGCGAACAUUAAAGUAUUUACAAGC
Molecule: non-coding RNA, 4755 nt
Organism: Oryzias latipes (Japanese medaka)
Lineage: Eukaryota; Metazoa; Chordata; Actinopteri; Beloniformes; Adrianichthyidae
Source: RefSeq, a predicted model, not a curated record